Non-coding RNA from Alligator sinensis (Chinese alligator), 438 nucleotides. Lineage: Eukaryota; Metazoa; Chordata; Crocodylia; Alligatoridae. The record is from the annotation of a RefSeq genome assembly.
GAGCCUGAGUCCCAGCCCAGCAUCCACCCAGCCCGCUCCUGCCUCCUGGGAGAUUCAUUUCUUCUGAGGCAGAGGAUGGAGAUGCCCCUGCUACUUUUUGCCCUGUUCUACCAUUUCAAUUGUGCCACCUCGGCAGUGACACUGGUGGAGUCUGGCCCAGGGGUGGUGAAGCCUGGACAGACCCUGACCCUGACCUGUGCUGUCUCUGGGGUCUCGAUGUCUCAGGCAAGCUAUGGUUGGCACUGGAUCAGACAGCCUCCUGGGAAAGUGCUGGAGUGGGUAGCAGCAACAUAUCCUUACGAUGGGACCACAUACUACAACCCAUCUCUCCAGAGCCGAACCACCAUCUCUGCAGACACAUCCAAGAGCCAGUUCUCCCUGCAGCUGCGCUCUCUGACAGCCGCAGACACCGCCACGUAUUACUGUGUAACACAGUGA